GUGUAAGUCCCAUCCCCCAUAUCCUUCACAAUCCCUUCUUGCUCCGUACCCCCAACACCCACUCCAGGCGACACCUUCACCUUAAUCUGUGCUCCCCCAUGCAGGACCUUCCUUCCAUCCGCGUCCUUUGUCACCACCANNNNAGCACAAGCAGUCCCACCAGCAAUGCCCGCCCCAACCGCAGUGCACUUGGCAGGAUCCACAGGGCCCACAGGUUUAUCGGCCAAGUCCUCCUCUGCUUCUCCUUCUGAAUCAGAAUCUGAAGGUUUAUCAGGAUUGUUGGUCACGGCUUUGAACG
RNAcentral lists this unclassified non-coding RNA (298 nucleotides) under Hevea brasiliensis (rubber tree). Lineage: Eukaryota; Viridiplantae; Streptophyta; Magnoliopsida; Malpighiales; Euphorbiaceae. The record is from RNAcentral.